UGCGGGGUAGUGCAAUGGUAGUCACGCCUGCCUCUGAAGCAGGAGAUCCUGGUUCGAGUCCAGGCCCCGCAG
Molecule: transfer RNA, 72 nt
Filed under: Candidatus Tayloriibacteriota bacterium
Lineage: Bacteria; Candidatus Tayloriibacteriota
Description: tRNA-Gln
Rfam family: tRNA
About the family: Transfer RNA (tRNA) molecules are approximately 80 nucleotides in length. Their secondary structure includes four short double-helical elements and three loops (D, anti-codon, and T loops).
Source: RNAcentral